UACGGAGGGUGCAAGCGUUAAUCGGAUUUACUGGGCGUAAAGCGUCCGUAGGUGGUCUGUUAAGUUGGAUGUGAAAGCCCAGGGCUCAACCUUGGAACUGCAUCCAAAAACUAGCAAACUAGAGUAUGUGAGAGGGAGGUAGAAUUUCUGGUGUAGCGGUGAAAUGCGUAGAGAUCAGAAAGAAUACCGAUGGCGAAGGCAACCUCCUGGCACAAUACUGACGCUGAGGUGCGAAAAGCGUGGGGAGCAAACAGGAUUAGAUACCCCUGUACGCC
This 275-nucleotide ribosomal RNA is filed under the name uncultured bacterium. RNAcentral's name for it is "partial 16S ribosomal RNA". It matches the Rfam family "Bacterial small subunit ribosomal RNA", at positions 524 to 795 of the family's 1533-position model. The record is from RNAcentral.